AGUGGACGUGUGUCUCUUUGCCUCAGUGUAGCUUUUGAGUGUGUAAAUUCCUUGUUACCAUGUUUCUUUCAUCGCAAGUUCACUAAGGCUCCGAUUGGUGACAAAAAAAAGAACAAUAGGAACAGGAAAAAAAAGGAAUGAAAAGGAACAAAAAGGAAAGGAAAAUGAUCAAAACCAGGAACCAAAAGGAACAUAAGAAUUGUUAUGGGAUCUCUAGCAGUUACUUCAAAAUUAGCACAUCGAGGGAUCCAAUGUGACUUUCUCUGUAAAAGAUGUGAGAUGGCAGAGGAAACAAUAAAUCAUGCUUUAUUUGAGUGCACUCAUUCUCAGAAAAUAUGGGAAUUAUCAGAUAUACCUACGGCAAUAGGUAGUUUUCCUCUAACCUCGGAAUUCUCAAAUCUAGAUUAUCUUUAUUGGAGGUUACCAUCUAAUCUAGAUGGGGGAGAGAAAACUUUCAGUUAUGCUUGGAUUUUGUGGUUCAUCUGGAAAGAUAGGAAUAAAAAGGUUUUCAAGGGAUUACAAUCUGAACCCAGAGAUAUUUUAAAUCAUGCUUUGAGUGAAAAAUUAAUGUGGGAAGAAGCUCAGUUGGAUCCGAUCGAAACUAGUUCUACUACGGAAACUUUGGAACGACCGGUUCAAUCUAUAAGAUGUCGGAUUGAUGGUUCUUGGAAAAAUUCAGAUCCAACAAUGGGUAUAGGAUGGUGGUGUUUUCAAGGAAAUGAUCAAACGAUACUGCUCGGUGCAAAGUGCCUUCGGAGGUAUCCCUCCCCUCUUCACUCGGAGAUGGAAGCUUUAAUUUGGGCUAUGAAGAAUAUCCUUUCAAGAGGGAUCGAUUGUCAGGUGUUUGAAUCAGACUGCUCGGAGUUAGUCUCGAUGAUACACUCACCGGAUGAAUGGCCUGCUUUCUCCAAUCUUCUAGACGAGUUUGGUUUUCUCCGUCUCUCUUUCCCUUUCUUCUCGCUUUCUCUUAUUUCUCAUUUAUGUAAUGUUCAAGCGGACUGCUUAGCUCGUUCUUCUAGACUUUUAUUUUCUGAAGUUACUUUUGUAAACUCUACUCCUCCUAAUUGGGCAACCAAUCAAGGAAUUAUUUAUUAAUUAAUGUGUGGUUGACAAAAAAAAAAAAAGGAACAUAAGAAUUGAACAAAUGAUUUUCGUAAAUGGUAACCAAAAAAUUGAACAAAUAUUUAACAUAAUAAUUAUUAAAAAUUAUGUAUUUUAUUUAGUUUACAAAAUUUUAUUUAAAAUUAAUUUUUUAUUUUAAUUUAAAACGAAAUAUAGUAUAAAUUCAAAUAUUUUAUUUUAAAAUAAUAUAAAUUUCACUUAAAAGCAUUUAUUUAUAUAUUUUAGUAUAAAUACUAAUUUAAAACAAAGUCAUAAGAUUCAUUUAAAUUAAAGUUUUGAUAAAAGUUUUUUAUACAUAAAUAUAUAAUAAAAAUAUAGGAAUUAUUUAUGUAUAAAAAUGUAAAUAUUAUCAAAAAAGCUAUUUUAAAAUUAUUUAAAAAUUAAAAACGAAUUUAAAAUUUUUGUUCCUUAUUGUUCCUCUACAAUUUUGGGGAGGAACAAUUUUGUUCUAUCAUUCUUUUUUUUUUUGAGAAAUGAAGAGGAAAAAUGUAUGACCCACAUGUCUGAAAAUGGAACAAAAAUUCUUUAUAAAUGGUAAAAAAAAAUGAGGAACAAAAAGAACAUGACAUUCUUACUCAUUCUUUUCCUCAAAAUUGGUUACCAAUCGGAGCCAAACUCUUAUAAGAACAUCGCCUUCUUGUCCGGUUUACAAGGAUUAGAUUAAUAGUAUUAAGAUUUUAAGAACCUGGAAGCUUGAUAGACCAGUUUCACUCAACUUGUGAAACAUUAUUUACCGGUCAAGACCCAUAAUACAAUUUUAAAACUGUGGAUUUACUAUU
This 1901-nucleotide long non-coding RNA is filed under the name Arabidopsis lyrata. Its description in RNAcentral is "long non-coding RNA (ALYR_LNC000577)". The record is from RNAcentral. Lineage: Eukaryota; Viridiplantae; Streptophyta; Magnoliopsida; Brassicales; Brassicaceae.